RNAcentral lists this ribosomal RNA (374 nucleotides) under uncultured eukaryote. RNAcentral's name for it is "SSU rRNA". It matches the Rfam family "Eukaryotic small subunit ribosomal RNA", at positions 587 to 972 of the family's 1831-position model. The record is from RNAcentral.
AGCUCCAAUAGCGUAUAUUAAAGUUGUUGCAGUUAAAAAGCUCGUAGUUGGAUUUCUGCGAGGGUGCCAAUGUCCGCCGACGCGCGUGCGCAGCGGCGCCCUCGCAUCCUUCUGUUACCACCUCUCGGCAUUCACUUGCCGGUGGUCGGCUCAGAGAAUUUACCUUGAGAAAAUUAGAGUGUUUCAGGCAGGCUAGGCCGGAAUACAUUAGCAUGGAAUAAUGGAAUAGGACUACGGUCUCGUUGUUGGUUUGAGGGACUGCAGUAAUGAUUAAUAGGGAUAGUUGGGGGCAUUAGUAUUUAAUUGUCAGAGGUGAAAUUCUCGGAUUUGUUAAAGACUAACUUAUGCGAAAGCAUUUGCCAAGGAUGUUUUCA